This 30-nucleotide non-coding RNA is filed under the name Homo sapiens (human). The record is from RNAcentral. Lineage: Eukaryota; Metazoa; Chordata; Mammalia; Primates; Hominidae.
UCCAUGUGACUUUAGAAUGGAACUGCCGGC